ACGCGGCAUUCGGUAAAAAAAAAACUGUCAAACAAGAACCAUAGAAAAUGAUACCAUGUUGUUGCUCCCUAAUUCCAUCACCGGCUUCCAUAUCCAAGUUCAUCUCAGACCAACCUUACCUCUCCAUGCUAGACAAAAAUUGCACUUCAAUGAAAGACCUUCAAAAAAUCCAUGCCCAACUCAUAAAAACUGGCCUAGCGAAAGACACCAUUGCUGCUAGCCGUGUUUUGGCCUUCUGUACCUCUCCUGCAGGUGACAUCAACUAUGCCUACUUAGUCUUCACACAAAUACGAAACCCAAACCUUUUUGUAUGGAACACUAUUAUCAGAGGCUUCUCUCAAAGCUCAACUCCACACAAUGCAAUCUCUUUAUUUAUUGACAUGAUGUUCACUUCACCAACUACUCAACCUCAAAGGCUGACUUAUCCUUCAGUUUUCAAGGCUUAUGCUCAACUUGGUCUAGCCCACGAAGGUGCUCAGCUUCAUGGCAGAGUGAUAAAACUGGGACUUGAAAAUGAUCAGUUUAUACAAAAUACAAUCUUGAAUAUGUAUGUAAAUUGUGGGUUUUUGGGUGAAGCUCAGAGAAUUUUUGAUGGAGCUACGGGAUUUGAUGUUGUUACGUGGAAUACGAUGAUUAUAGGACUUGCUAAAUGUGGAGAGAUUGAUAAGUCUAGGAGGUUGUUUGAUAAGAUGUUGUUGAGGAAUACAGUGUCAUGGAAUUCUAUGAUUAGUGGGUAUGUGAGGAAAGGCAGGUUCUUUGAGGCAAUGGAGCUCUUUAGCAGAAUGCAAGAGGAGGGGAUUAAGCCUAGUGAAUUUACAAUGGUGAGCUUGUUAAAUGCUUGUGCUUGCUUAGGAGCACUGAGACAGGGAGAAUGGAUUCAUGAUUAUAUAGUGAAGAACAAUUUUGCAUUGAACUCUAUUGUUAUUACAGCGAUUAUAGACAUGUAUUCCAAGUGUGGAAGCAUAGAUAAGGCUCUUCAAGUGUUCAAGAGUGCCCCCAAGAAAGGAUUAUCAUGCUGGAACUCCCUAAUUUUAGGCCUAGCCAUGAGUGGCCGUGGGAAUGAAGCAGUCCGAUUAUUUUCAAAGCUCGAGUCUUCAAAUCUCAAACCGGACCAUGUUAGUUUUAUAGGAGUCCUGACAGCUUGUAAUCACGCUGGGAUGGUGGACAGGGCAAAGGACUAUUUCUUGUUAAUGUCAGAAACAUACAAGAUCGAGCCAUCGAUAAAACAUUAUAGCUGCAUGGUUGAUGUGCUAGGCAGAGCAGGACUCCUUGAAGAGGCAGAAGAGCUAAUAAAAAGCAUGCCAGUAAACCCAGAUGCCAUUAUAUGGGGGUCUUUACUCUCCUCUUGCAGGGAGUACGGAAACAUUGAGAUGGCAAAACAAGCGGCGAAGCGUGUGAAUGAGUUGGAUCCAAAUGAGAGCUCAAGUUUUAUACUUCUGUCAAACGUUUAUGCUGCUCAUAAUCAUUUUGAAGAAGCAAUUGAGCAAAGGCUCUCUCUGAAAGAGAAGCAGAUGGACAAAGAACCUGGAUGUAGUUUGAUUGAAGUGAAUGGCGAGGUUCAUGAAUUCGUUGCGGGGGGACGCCUGCAUCCAAGAUCCAAAGAUAUCUACCAUGCAUUGGAUGAUCUGGGAUUGACGUUAAAGGAGAUGGGAUAGGAUUAAUAUGAACCAAUUAAGAUUAUUCUUUCUAGAGGAUUAUAUCAUGUCAGAAAAUAGGUUCUUUCGGUUCCCAGAAGUUCAGUAUUUCUCUUGUUCAAGGUGGAUGAACUCCACUGCAACUCAGGGUUGAAAGAAAGAACAGAUCUGGUCAUCAUCGAAUGAGGGAACUCUAGACUGAUGGAAAAAUAAGAGUUCAUGCCAAGCAGAACAGAGAAGUGCUUUUACAAGGAAGCCUGAACACAUUAGUGAAAUGACACAACAUCGAAGAAUAUUAGGAUUUGCCAAUAUGAGAGGCUAGAAGAUUUGCU
Populus trichocarpa (black cottonwood) is the source of this 1966-nucleotide RNA transcript. It is a transcript of the gene named pentatricopeptide repeat-containing protein At2g42920, chloroplastic, with no coding region annotated. The record is from RefSeq and is a predicted model, not a curated record. Lineage: Eukaryota; Viridiplantae; Streptophyta; Magnoliopsida; Malpighiales; Salicaceae. The transcript has 2 exons.